This 497-nucleotide ribosomal RNA is filed under the name uncultured bacterium. RNAcentral describes it as "partial 16S ribosomal RNA". It matches the Rfam family "Bacterial small subunit ribosomal RNA", at positions 28 to 507 of the family's 1533-position model. The record is from RNAcentral.
GAUGAACGCUGGCGGCGUGCCUAAUACAUGCAAGUCGAGCGAACGGACGAGAAGCUUGCUUCUCUGAUGUUAGCGGCGGACGGGUGAGUAACACGUGGAUAACCUACCUAUAAGACUGGGAUAACUUCGGGAAACCGGAGCUAAUACCGGAUAAUAUUUUGAACCUCAUUGUUCAAAAGUGAAAGACGGUCUUGCUGUCACUUAUAGAUGGAUCCGCGCUGCAUUAGCUAGUUGGUAAGGUAACGGCUUACCAAGGCAACGAUGCAUAGCCGACCUGAGAGGGUGAUCGGCCACACUGGAACUGAGACACGGUCCAGACUCCUACGGGAGGCAGCAGUAGGGAAUCUUCCGAAAUGGGCGAAAGCCUGACGGAGCAACGCCGCGUGAGUGAUGAAGGUCUUCGGAUCGUAAAACUCUGUUAUUAGGGAAGAACAUAUGUGUAAGUAACUGUGCACAUCUUGACGGUACCUAAUCAGAAAGCCACGGCUAACUACGUG